RNAcentral lists this non-coding RNA (46 nucleotides) under Schistosoma mansoni. Lineage: Eukaryota; Metazoa; Platyhelminthes; Trematoda; Strigeidida; Schistosomatidae. The record is from RNAcentral.
AUUCAACUGACGAGUCCCAAAUAGGAUGAAACGCGCGUUUCCAUAU